AAAAGAAACCCAUUCAUGCGCUGUCAUCAUGCCUCCUUGAAGCCACCGUGGUUUCCACCAUAGACGGUGGUCAGGGCCACGUGAAAUCGGGUUAGUCUCUUCUUCUUCCUUAAUUCUUUUUUUAAAGUAAGUUAAUGAGAAAAAAUUAAAAUAAGGCAAAGAUAAAUAGAAAGAUUGAGAUAAUAGAGGAAAAAAAAAUGAAAUUAACCUCCUAAAUUUUCUUUUUCUUUUUUGUUUUUGAUACAAUUUUUUUUUUUGUAUUUCAAAAGAACCCCCUUUUGAUUUUUUUCUCAACCAAACUCAAAGACCAAGCCUUAGCCGUCACUUUUGGGCUGCUCACGGGUAUCAUCGGCGUUCACGCCUCCACCUCUGCCGUGGUUCACAACCUAAGUUGCGUAAAAACAAGAGGAGACCCCUUUUACCCCCUUUUGGUCCGAUAUCCAAGCCGGAGGAUGGCCUCCGACGAUCGAAACCGUAGGUAAGUGUCUUUGGAAUCUCUUCUUUAUUUGUUUUUAUGAUAAAGUACCUUCAAAGCAAGAAAAAAAGAAAAAAGAAACAUAUGAAUCGUAAAUCACCUCCAAUCUUUGAGUGUUUUCUCUAUUUUCUUUGUAUUCGGAAAGUUACAAAUUUUUACUUGAAUCCCUCUAUCGUUUUUUUUUUGUAUUUUUUGAUUGAUAUCCCCCCUACAUUACCUUGAGAUUGUAGGUUUUUCUCCCCUUUUACAACUUGUUCUUUUUUAUUUAUUUUCCUUUUCCAUUGCAGGUAAGUGGAACAAAAUGGGG
RNAcentral lists this long non-coding RNA (782 nucleotides) under Gossypium barbadense (sea-island cotton). Its description in RNAcentral is "long non-coding RNA (GBAR_LNC009353)". Lineage: Eukaryota; Viridiplantae; Streptophyta; Magnoliopsida; Malvales; Malvaceae. The record is from RNAcentral.